AGUGAACGCUGGCGGUAGGCCUAACACAUGCAAGUCGAACGGCAGCACAGUAAGAGCUUGCUCUUACGGGUGGCGAGUGGCGGACGGGUGAGGAAUACAUCGGAAUCUACUUUUUCGUGGGGGAUAACGUAGGGAAACUUACGCUAAUAUCGCAUACGACCUACGGGUGAAAGCAUGGGAUCUUCGGACCUUGCGCGAUUGAAUGAGCCGAUGUCGGAUUAGCUAGUUGGCGGGGUAAAGGCCCACCAAGGCGACGAUCCGUAGCUGGUCUGAGAGGAUGAUCAGCCACACUGGAACUGAGACACGGUCCAGACUCCUACGGGAGGCAGCAGUGGGGAAUAUUGGACAAUGGGCGCAAGCCUGAUCCAGCCAUACCGCGUGGGUGAAGAAGGCCUUCGGGUUGUAAAGCCCUUUUGUUGGGAAAGAAAAGCAGCAGGUUAAUACCCCGCUGUUCUGACGGUACCCAAAGAAUAAGCACCGGCUAACUUCGUG
RNAcentral lists this ribosomal RNA (492 nucleotides) under uncultured bacterium. RNAcentral describes it as "partial 16S ribosomal RNA". It matches the Rfam family "Bacterial small subunit ribosomal RNA", at positions 29 to 507 of the family's 1533-position model. The record is from RNAcentral.